Molecule: ribosomal RNA, 183 nt
Filed under: uncultured bacterium
Lineage: Bacteria
Description: partial 16S ribosomal RNA
Rfam family: Bacterial small subunit ribosomal RNA
Source: RNAcentral
AACUCGCCUACACGAAGCUGGAAUCGCUAGUAAUCGCGGAUCAGCACGCCGCGGUGAAUACGUUCCCGGGCCUUGUACACACCGCCCGUCAAGCCAUGGAAGCCGGGGGUGCCUGAAGUGCGCUGCCGCAAGGAGCGCCCUAGGGUAAAACCGGUGACUGGGGCUAAGUCGUAACAAGGUAAC